Molecule: ribosomal RNA, 253 nt
Filed under: uncultured bacterium
Lineage: Bacteria
Description: partial 16S ribosomal RNA
Rfam family: Bacterial small subunit ribosomal RNA
Source: RNAcentral
UACGUAGGGGGCAAGCGUUGUCCGGAUUUAUUGGGCGUAAAGAGCGGGUAGGCGGUUUGGUAGGUCCGCUGUGAAAACUCGAGGCUCAACCUCGAGACGCCGGUGGAAACCAUCAGGCUAGAGUCCGGAAGAGGAGAGUGGAAUUCCUGGUGUAGCGGUGAAAUGCGCAGAUAUCAGGAAGAACACCCGUGGCUAAGGCGGCUCUCUAGUACGGUACUGACGCUGAGACGCGAAAGCGUGGGGAGCGAACAGG